Molecule: unclassified non-coding RNA, 337 nt
Filed under: soil metagenome
Description: partial contains 5.8S ribosomal RNA, internal transcribed spacer 2, and large subunit ribosomal RNA
Rfam family: 5.8S ribosomal RNA (bases 1-120)
Source: RNAcentral
GAUGAAGAACGUAGCGAAAUGCGAUAAGUAGUGUGAAUUGCAGAAUUCAGUGAAUCAUUGAAUCUUUGAACGCACAUUGCGCCCCUUGGUAUUCCAUGGGGCAUGCCUGUUCGAGCGUCAUUUGUACCUUCAAGCCUUGCUUGGUGUUGGGUGUUUGUCUCGCCUCUGCGCGCAGACUCGCCUCAAAACAAUUGGCAGCCGGCGUAUUGAUUUCGGAGCGCAGUACAUCUCGCGCUUUGCACUCAGAACGACGACGUCCAAAAGUACAUUUUUACACUCUUGACCUCGGAUCAGGUAGGGAUACCCGCUGAACUUAAGCAUAUCAAUAAGCGGAGGA